AAGGCCACGACGGGUAGCUGGUCUGAGAGGACGAUCAGCCACACUGGGACUGAGACACGGCCCAGACUCCUACGGGAGGCAGCAGUGGGGAAUCUUGCGCAAUGGGCGAAAGCCUGACGCAGCAACGCCGCGUGGGGGAUGAAGGCCUUCGGGUUGUAAACCCCUUUCAGUGGGAACGAAAUUGACGGUACCCACAGAAGAAGCCCCGGCCAACUACGUGCCAGCAGCCGCGGUGAUACGUAGGGGGCGAGCGUUGUCCGGAUUUAUUGGGCGUAAAGAGCUCGUAGGCGGCUUGGUAAGUCGGGUGUGAAACCCCCAGGCUCAACCUGGGGACGCCACUCGAUACUGCCAUAGCUAGAGUCCGGUAGGGGACCACGGAAUUCCUGGUGUAGCGGUGAAAUGCGCAGAUAUCAGGAGGAACACCGGUGGCGAAGGCGGUGGUCUGGGCCGGCACUGACGCUGAGGAGCGAAAGCGUGGGGAGCGAACAGGAUUAGAUACCCUGGUAGUCCACGCCGUAAACGUUGGGUACUAGGUGUGGGACCUUAUCAACGGGUUCCGUGCCGCAGCU
This 569-nucleotide ribosomal RNA is filed under the name uncultured bacterium. RNAcentral describes it as "bacterial SSU rRNA". It matches the Rfam family "Bacterial small subunit ribosomal RNA", at positions 270 to 853 of the family's 1533-position model. The record is from RNAcentral.